Molecule: ribosomal RNA, 1483 nt
Filed under: metagenome
Description: bacterial SSU rRNA
Rfam family: Bacterial small subunit ribosomal RNA
Source: RNAcentral
AGAGUUUGAUCCUGGCUCAGGAUGAGCGCUAGCGACAGGCUUAACACAUGCAAGUCGAGGGGCAGCGGGGGUAGCAAUACCCGCCGGCGACCGGCGCACGGGUGAGUAACGCGUAUGCAACUUACCUAUCAGAGGGGGAUAACCCGGCGAAAGUCGGACUAAUACCGCAUGAAGCAGGGGCCCCGCAUGGGGAUAUUUGCUAAAGAUCCAUCGCUGAUAGAUAGGCAUGCGUUCCAUUAGGCAGUUGGCGGGGUAACGGCCCACCAAACCGACGAUGGAUAGGGGUUCUGAGAGGAAGGUCCCCCACAUUGGUACUGAGACACGGACCAAACUCCUACGGGAGGCAGCAGUGAGGAAUAUUGGUCAAUGGGCGUAAGCCUGAACCAGCCAAGUCGCGUGAGGGAUGAAGGUUCUAUGGAUCGUAAACCUCUUUUAUAAGGGAAUAAAGUGCGGGACGUGUCCCGUUUUGUAUGUACCUUAUGAAUAAGGAUCGGCUAACUCCGUGCCAGCAGCCGCGGUAAUACGGAGGAUCCGAGCGUUAUCCGGAUUUAUUGGGUUUAAAGGGUGCGUAGGCGGCCUUUUAAGUCAGCGGUGAAAGUCUGUGGCUCAACCAUAGAAUUGCCGUUGAAACUGGGAGGCUUGAGUAUGUUUGAGGCAGGCGGAAUGCGUGGUGUAGCGGUGAAAUGCAUAGAUAUCACGCAGAACCCCGAUUGCGAAGGCAGCCUGCCAAGCCAUGACUGACGCUGAUGCACGAAAGCGUGGGGAUCAAACAGGAUUAGAUACCCUGGUAGUCCACGCAGUAAACGAUGAUCACUAGCUGUUUGCGAUACACUGUAAGCGGCACAGCGAAAGCGUUAAGUGAUCCACCUGGGGAGUACGCCGGCAACGGUGAAACUCAAAGGAAUUGACGGGGGCCCGCACAAGCGGAGGAACAUGUGGUUUAAUUCGAUGAUACGCGAGGAACCUUACCCGGGUUUGAACGCAUUCGGACCGAGGUGGAAACACCUUUUCUAGCAAUAGCCGUUUGCGAGGUGCUGCAUGGUUGUCGUCAGCUCGUGCCGUGAGGUGUCGGCUUAAGUGCCAUAACGAGCGCAACCCUUGCCACUAGUUACUAACAGGUAAAGCUGAGGACUCUGGUGGGACUGCCAGCGUAAGCUGCGAGGAAGGCGGGGAUGACGUCAAAUCAGCACGGCCCUUACAUCCGGGGCGACACACGUGUUACAAUGGCGUGGACAAAGGGAAGCCACCUGGCGGCAGGGAGCGAAUCCCCAAACCACGUCUCGGUUCGGAUCGGAGUCUGCAACCCGACUCCGUGAAGCUGGAUUCGCUAGUAAUCGCGCAUCAGCCAUGGCGCGGUGAAUACGUUCCCGGGCCUUGUACACACCGCCCGUCAAGCCAUGGGAGCCGGGGGUACCUGAAGUCCGUAACCGCGAGGAUCGGCCUAGGGUAAAACUGGUGACUGGGGCUAAGUCGUAACAAGGUA